UGCUUAGCAUCGUCAAUUAUUUAUCUUGGUAUCAUGAGAUUAAAGUUUUUGUAUUCAUAUAAUCUUGUAGAUAUACUCAUAAUUUUUGGAGAUGCAUUUCUUUAUUUCUUUCUUUUAGGGAAAAAACUAUAACAAUGUUUUGAGGAAUUGGUGUAGAAUCUACAAGUAUCAUGAGCAAGGAAGAGAAAUUCAAAGAGAUAGUUAUGCAUUAUUAUGCCAUGAGACUCAAAGUUAAACCAAUAUCAAAGUGUAUGCAUCUAGUUUAAGUUCGAGGGAGCUUGCCAUGCUGAUGCUCAUGUAAACCGACAAGGUCCAAGUUCGCCCGUUGAUACUUGAAGCUUG
RNAcentral lists this long non-coding RNA (342 nucleotides) under Phoenix dactylifera (date palm). Its description in RNAcentral is "long non-coding RNA (PDAC_LNC021057)". Lineage: Eukaryota; Viridiplantae; Streptophyta; Magnoliopsida; Arecales; Arecaceae. The record is from RNAcentral.